UAAUCGAGGAGCUCUUCGUCC
This 21-nucleotide unclassified non-coding RNA is filed under the name Chlamydomonas reinhardtii. RNAcentral's name for it is "small RNA Cre_2159". The record is from RNAcentral. Lineage: Eukaryota; Viridiplantae; Chlorophyta; Chlorophyceae; Chlamydomonadales; Chlamydomonadaceae.